Molecule: long non-coding RNA, 1153 nt
Organism: Sorghum bicolor (sorghum)
Lineage: Eukaryota; Viridiplantae; Streptophyta; Magnoliopsida; Poales; Poaceae
Exons: 4
Source: RefSeq, a predicted model, not a curated record
GCGGCGCCAGGAGGGUCCGCGCGUCGGGCCAAUGCCAGAGCCGGCCGCGCCCCGCUCUAGUGGCCGCGCCGAGCCGCGCGCCAAGGGAGGCCGCGCAACCUGCGUCGGUGGGCUGGCUGCGCCCGCGCCAGGCUGUGGCAUGGCCACGCUGGUCGGGGGCCACGCCCGCGCCGGCCAGGGUUGCCGACACCGUGCCAGCCAGGUCGCUGCGCCCGCACUGGCGGCCUUGUGUGCGCCGGUGGCCGGCGGGCUUGCCGCGCCCCCGUGUGGCCGCGCCCUGCGGUGCGUGUUGACCGAGCCGAAGUCGCACUAGGAGGGCCUGCCAUGCGCUGGCGACUACAUUGGGUGCUUCGCUCGUCUUCUGGACGGCAGGGACCGGAUCUGCUCACCUUCAGGCAGCUAAGAUCUUCCUGGGACACUACAUUCCAGCAAUGCAGAAGGAGACAUGAUCUAUAGCUUUACCUUUGAAAUACUAGAAGAAUACAACACCAUUCAUCCUCUCAAAUGAAGAGCUGCUAUGCCUUUGAAAUACUACAAGAAUCACAACAUAAAAGAUUGUUUAUUUUGGAUACUUCUGGAUGGAUAUAAGGCUCCUUUAACUGCUGGGAAAUUCAGAGAUCUGAUCGAGCGGAAUUUCUGUGAUUGCUUGGAAACCCAGAGGCAGGGUGUGAAGAACAGAAGACCUACAACUAUAUCAACAGCUCCUCAUCCCAAUGGGAUGUACCCUAGCUCUCGACCUUAUACCCAGUAUAGGAGUUCAAUAAAAACUGGUCUUCCCUACGGGGACCUACGGGAGUACUGGUUAUGAUUCCAGGAUAUAUAUAUAGAUCGUGGGGGCUUCGAACGUGGAAAGUGCGGGGCACAACAAGUGUUUGGCUUAAUUUCAUGGAAAAUGGUUCUCCACAACCUGGUGGACGUGCUUUUGGGUUUUCAUUUCCUAUUGUGUGCACCAACCUUAGUAUUAUAUAUCAAACACAAACUACUAUAUAUUGCUUGCUAAUUUUCAUUCAUGUAAGCUUUUGUUGGAUAAUGUAGUAUGCAAGACAAGAUUGUAUGCUUGAUUUUGUUGGAGGAUGUAGUGUGAUGUAAUGUGCAAGACAAGAUUGUAUGGUACAAUAUAUAUGUAUCGACCUUCAUGUCAUGUGUGACUUUA